Molecule: ribosomal RNA, 1343 nt
Filed under: uncultured bacterium
Lineage: Bacteria
Description: 16S ribosomal RNA
Rfam family: Bacterial small subunit ribosomal RNA
Source: RNAcentral
GACGAACGCUGGCGGCGUGCUUAACACAUGCAAGUCGAACGGAAAGGCCCUGCUUUUGUGGGGUGCUCGAGUGGCGAACGGGUGAGUAACACGUGAGUAACCUGCCCUUGACUUUGGGAUAACUUCAGGAAACUGGGGCUAAUACCGGAUAGGAGCUCCUGCUGCAUGGUGGGGGUUGGAAAGUUUCGGCGGUUGGGGAUGGACUCGCGGCUUAUCAGCUUGUUGGUGGGGUAGUGGCUUACCAAGGCUUUGACGGGUAGCCGGCCUGAGAGGGUGACCGGCCACAUUGGGACUGAGAUACGGCCCAGACUCCUACGGGAGGCAGCAGUGGGGAAUAUUGCACAAUGGGCGGAAGCCUGAUGCAGCAACGCCGCGUGCGGGAUGACGGCCUUCGGGUUGUAAACCGCUUUCGCCUGUGACGAAGCGUGAGUGACGGUAAUGGGUAAAGAAGCACCGGCUAACUACGUGCCAGCAGCCGCGGUGAUACGUAGGGUGCGAGCGUUGUCCGGAUUUAUUGGGCGUAAAGGGCUCGUAGGUGGUUGAUCGCGUCGGAAGUGUAAUCUUGGGGCUUAACCCUGAGCGUGCUUUCGAUACGGGUUGACUUGAGGAAGGUAGGGGAGAAUGGAAUUCCUGGUGGAGCGGUGGAAUGCGCAGAUAUCAGGAGGAACACCAGUGGCGAAGGCGGUUCUCUGGGCCUUUCCUGACGCUGAGGAGCGAAAGCGUGGGGAGCGAACAGGCUUAGAUACCCUGGUAGUCCACGCUGUAAACGGUGGGUACUAGGUGUGGGGUCCAUUCCACGGGUUCCGUGCCGUAGCUAACGCUUUAAGUACCCCGCCUGGGGAGUACGGCCGCAAGGCUAAAACUCAAAGGAAUUGACGGGGCCCCGCACAAGCGGCGGAGCAUGCGGAUUAAUUCGAUGCAACGCGUAGAACCUUACCUGGGUUUGACAUGGAUCGGGAGUGCUCAGAGAUGGGUGUGCCUCUUUUGGGGUCGGUUCACAGGUGGUGCAUGGCUGUCGUCAGCUCGUGUCGUGAGAUGUUGGGUUAAGUCCCGCAACGAGCGCAACCCUUGUUCACUGUUGCCAGCACGUUAUGGUGGGGACUCAGUGGAGACCGCCGGGGUCAACUCGGAGGAAGGUGGGGAUGACGUCAAGUCAUCAUGCCCCUUAUGUCCAGGGCUUCACGCAUGCUACGAUGGCUGGUACAGAGAGUGGCGAGCCUGUGAGGGUGAGCGAAUCUCGGAAAGCCGGUCUCAGUUCGGAUUGGGGUCUGCAACUCGACCUCAUGAAGUCGGAGUCGCUAGUAAUCGCAGAUCAGCAACGCUGCGGCGAAUACGUUCCCGGG